Molecule: non-coding RNA, 559 nt
Organism: Styela clava
Lineage: Eukaryota; Metazoa; Chordata; Ascidiacea; Stolidobranchia; Styelidae
Source: RefSeq, a predicted model, not a curated record
CUGUGGUUUUGCAUGUUAUUUGUCAGUUUUAGCUGUUUUUCCAAAUAUUAGUUGUAAAUUAAGUGUCAAUAUAUUUUCUAAGUAGCUACAGGCGCACUAAUAAAAUACUAAUUGCAUUGCCGGCUGUGCAGAGUUGUGUCGAGCAGUUAUCGAGGUCAUCAAAUGAUAUUCACCACGGAUCUGCUGCAAUGUGGAUACAACUGUUCGAUAUUAAAUAUGAUUUUUGGCGUUCACCGUUUACAUGAAAAGAAGAAGUCCGUUUGUGAGACUCGAAUUUUUAAAAGUCAACCCUGCCGAAAUCGAACGCAAAUUGGUAUUUCCCGUUGAUAAGUAACCUGUUCGGAUGUCUUCCUGGAACUAAAAGAAGUCAAAGGAUCGUCUCAGCCUUGAAAUUAUGUUGAAACCUAUGCAAACUCCUGCUCACAGACCGAAAGAACAAUACCUGACGCAGUUCAUCAAAUCAGUUUUUAUGUCUUGUUAUGUUUAUUUAUCUUUGACAUUUUAUUAAAAGUUUUCAUCAUAUGUAAUUCAUUAAUGCCAAUAAAUGUUUUCUCACGAA